CUAGUAAAUCGGGUGAUUGCUCCCGCUAAAAGCGGGGGAGGAAAGUCCGAACACUCACUCCUCAGAAUUUCUGAGGGUUAAAAAGAUAAUGGAUAACAUCCAUCGGCCGUGAGGCUAGAGGUGCGAGCAGAGACGUGCGAAGCCGAAAGGUUGAGCAUCCCGUCGAAUGACUGGAUAGUCCUACAGCAAUGUAGGGGUGAAACGGCUAAAUCCUUAUCGGGUGCAAGAACAAAGCCCCGCCCUUUCUAUCUUAGGGAAUACCUACGAGAUUUCGAUAAAAGACUAUAGUUGUUUUUCUGAAAUCUCGAAUUUCAACAAGAAAGGGCGGGGUGAAAAGUAGUUCGCUUGACCCUGAGAGUAAUCGAAGGGCUAGAUAGAUAAUCACACACCGACGCCAAAUGGCGGAGGUGACAGAAUUCGGCUUACAGAUUUACUAGGACA
Molecule: RNase P RNA, 441 nt
Filed under: Candidatus Nealsonbacteria bacterium CG18_big_fil_WC_8_21_14_2_50_37_10
Lineage: Bacteria; Candidatus Nealsoniibacteriota
Description: RNase P RNA component class A
Rfam family: Bacterial RNase P class A
About the family: Ribonuclease P (RNase P) is a ubiquitous endoribonuclease, found in archaea, bacteria and eukarya as well as chloroplasts and mitochondria. Its best characterised activity is the generation of mature 5'-ends of tRNAs by cleaving the 5'-leader elements of precursor-tRNAs.
Source: RNAcentral